UACGGGAGGCAGCAGUGGGGAAUAUUGCACAAUGGGCGAAAGCCUGAUGCAGCUAUGCCGCGUGUAUGAAGAAGGCCUUAGGGUUGUAAAGUACUUUCAUCGGGGAGGAAAAAACAAAACUAAUAAUUUUAUUUCUUGACGUUACCCGAAAAAGAAGCACCGGCUAACUCCGUGCCAGCAGCCGCGGUAAUACGGAGGGUGCUAGCGUUAAUCAGAAUUACUGGGCGUAAAGAGCACGUAGGUGGUUUUUUUAAGUCAGAUGUGAAAUCCCUGGGCUUAACCUGGAACUGCAUUUUGAAACUGAAAUACUAGAGUAUCGUAGAGGGAGGUAGAAUUCUAGGUGUAGCGGUGAAAUGCGUAGAUAUCUGGAGGAAUACCUGUGGCGAAAGCGGCCUCCUAAACGAAUACUGACGCUGAGGUGCGAAAGCGUGGGGAGCAAACAGGGAUUUAGAUACC
This 456-nucleotide ribosomal RNA is filed under the name uncultured bacterium. RNAcentral's name for it is "bacterial SSU rRNA". It matches the Rfam family "Bacterial small subunit ribosomal RNA", at positions 340 to 786 of the family's 1533-position model. The record is from RNAcentral.